RNAcentral lists this signal recognition particle RNA (148 nucleotides) under Chlorocebus sabaeus (green monkey). RNAcentral's name for it is "Metazoan signal recognition particle RNA". It matches the Rfam family "Metazoan signal recognition particle RNA". From Rfam's summary of the family: The signal recognition particle (SRP) is a universally conserved ribonucleoprotein. It is involved in the co-translational targeting of proteins to membranes. Lineage: Eukaryota; Metazoa; Chordata; Mammalia; Primates; Cercopithecidae. The record is from Rfam by way of RNAcentral.
GCCAGGUAUGGUGGCGCACACCUGUAGUCCCAGCUACCAAGGAGGCUGAGGUGGGAGGAUCACUUGAGCCCAGGAGGUCAAGGCUGUCACCAGCCAUUCUCACACCACUGCACUCUAGCCUGGGCUAUACAGUGAGAUUCUGCCUCAC